AACAGAGAAGGGGAGGGAAGCCCCUGUCGGCUGGAAACUAAAGGAACAGAGCAAAGGCAUUAUUUGAGUGUCUUGGGAUGUUCUGUAUUCCAUCUAACAGUGCACUAAAAAAAGAUAAGUUCCUGAGAACAAUUCUGAUUUUGUAGUUCAGUUUAGUUACUUGGCGAUGAGGAACUGGAAUAAAUGUGAAGAACAAACUCUUGAGACAAUAUAGCAGAGA
RNAcentral lists this long non-coding RNA (220 nucleotides) under Homo sapiens (human). RNAcentral describes it as "HSALNT0181012". Lineage: Eukaryota; Metazoa; Chordata; Mammalia; Primates; Hominidae. The record is from RNAcentral.